RNAcentral lists this ribosomal RNA (253 nucleotides) under uncultured bacterium. RNAcentral describes it as "partial 16S ribosomal RNA". It matches the Rfam family "Bacterial small subunit ribosomal RNA", at positions 524 to 776 of the family's 1533-position model. The record is from RNAcentral.
GACAGAGGUGCCGAGCGUUGUCCGGAAUCACUGGGCGUAAAGGGCGCGUAGGCGGCCUGAUAAGUAGGGGGUGAAAUCCUGCGGCUUAACCGCAGGGCUGCCUUCUAAACUGUCAGGCUCGAGCACAGUAGAGGCAGGUGGAAUUCCCGGUGUAGCGGUGGAAUGCGUAGAGAUCGGGAAGAACAUCAGUGGCGAAGGCGGCCUGCUGGGCUGUUGCUGACGCUGAGGCGCGACAGCGUGGGGAGCAAACAGG